Molecule: ribosomal RNA, 776 nt
Filed under: uncultured Neocallimastigales
Lineage: Eukaryota; Fungi; Neocallimastigomycota; Neocallimastigomycetes; Neocallimastigales
Description: partial large subunit ribosomal RNA
Rfam family: Eukaryotic large subunit ribosomal RNA
Source: RNAcentral
UAUGUGAUCGUCUCUCGCAUAUCAAUAAGCGGAGGAAAAGAAACUAACAAGGAUUCCCCUAGUAACGGCGAGUGAAGCGGGAAGAGCUCAAAUUUGAAAUCUUAAAGGGUUUCCCUUUACGAAUUGUAGUUUAAAGAAGUGUUUUCUGUUGAGGUUUUGGUAAAAGUUCUUUGGAAUAGGACAUCAUAGAGGGUGAGAAUCCCGUAUUUGACCUUUACUUUCAACUUUGUGAUACACUUUCAAAGAGUCGGAUUGUUUGGGAAUGCAGUCCAAAAUGGGUGGUCAAAUUUCAUCUAAAGCUAAAUAUUGGCGAGAGACCGAUAGCGAACAAGUACCGUGAGGGAAAGAUGAAAAGAACUUUGAAAAGAGAGUUAAACAGUACGUGAAAUUGUCAAAAGGGAAGCGUUUGACACCAGUGUUGUUUUUCUGAAAAUCAAUUAAAGAACUGUUUAUGCUAAGCUGUUUAGACUUUAUCAGCUAAUCUGUUUAGUUUUGAGCUUUUCUUUAAUGCACUUUUCAGUUAACAAGUCAACAUCAAUUUCUUUUGCUGUAAAAAAGCUUGAGGAAGGUGGCUUGAGAUUCGUCUUAAGUGCUUAUAGCCUCUUGCCUAUGCAGUCGGAGAGAUUGAGGUCUGCAGCGUAGAUCCUUCGGGGCUAAAUGCAUUUGUGCUAAGUUAUAGCAUUUCAUAGACAACUUGUUGACUAUGAUUUGUCUUGUAGCUUACUCGCUUAUGUUAUUUUACCUACGCUUAGGAUGUUGAUAUGCAUGACUGAUAU